This 217-nucleotide ribosomal RNA is filed under the name Acaulospora punctata. The record is from RNAcentral. Lineage: Eukaryota; Fungi; Glomeromycota; Glomeromycetes; Diversisporales; Acaulosporaceae.
CAGUCAUGCUAGUGAGGAAUCAACUUGGUGGUGUGUGGGUUCGCUCGCACUCUUUCCGGUGCACUUCCUUACUUGGCAGGUUAGCAUCAAUUUCGGUUAUCAUAAAAAAUUUGAGGGAAUGUGACUUUUCUUCGGAAAAGUGUUAUAGACCUUGAUCUAUGUGGUGACCGGGAUUGAGGAUUGCAGCGGAUACCCUUGUGCUGGUUACCUUGCUUCU